This 459-nucleotide long non-coding RNA is filed under the name Oryza sativa Indica Group (long-grained rice). RNAcentral describes it as "lncRNA OsKYG_11g0017120". Lineage: Eukaryota; Viridiplantae; Streptophyta; Magnoliopsida; Poales; Poaceae. The record is from RNAcentral.
AUGCCGCCGAGUUCUUCGCCGACGGUGCCGCAGGCCCGCAGCGCAGCAUAUCCUGUGGCGGCGCCGUCCGCGUUGAGUGUCUGGUUCGCCUACGCCGACCUCCUGUCACUGGGGCCAGCGCUUCUGGCCGAGCCAUGGGCCAUGGCUAGCUGCCUCCUCGAGCUCACGCUCAGAUGGAGCGCUGCUGAAUCUUCACUCUUCUUGCUAGUGAAUGGCAUUUGCAAUGAGCUGAGCCCCUGCAAGUUGAACGGCAUGGUGAUCGUUGCUCUUAAGUCAGAGAUCCUGUUCCCCUUAGAGCAGCUCCAGUGUGCACCUAAAAUCGAUUUCAACGUGAAAAAACCGAACUAUGCACACUGUGGGAAGCGAACCGUUGUGAGGGGGAAGGGAAAUGUGGGAUUAAGAUUUUUUUCAUGGGUCCCACCCAAAAUCGAUAUUAACGCUGUAGGGGUCGAAUCAAAU